Molecule: ribosomal RNA, 149 nt
Filed under: Dickeya solani
Lineage: Bacteria; Pseudomonadati; Pseudomonadota; Gammaproteobacteria; Enterobacterales; Pectobacteriaceae
Description: partial 23S ribosomal RNA
Rfam family: Bacterial large subunit ribosomal RNA (bases 1-131)
Source: RNAcentral
CGAGAUGAGUCUUCCCUGGGCCCUUGAGGCCCCUGAAGGGACGUUUAAGACUAAGACGUUGAUAGGCUGGGUGUGUAAGCGUAGCGAUACGUUGAGCUAACCAGUACUAAUGACCCGAGAGGCUUAACCUUACAACACCGAAGGUGUUU